UCACCUCGCUGCCACUAGCGAGGUCUCAGUGCGCCAAGGCUUGCGGGAAGGGAAACUUCACCUCGCUUCACAGCUGCACUUGAAACAAAGAGCUUCAGACAGCAACUUGAGGUUUCGCGAAUGGUAUGAUCGUCGUCUUCAUCGUCUGUUCUCACCGCAGAAGUUGCAGACUGGGGACCAAUGACAGAACACGCUGCUCGAUUUGACCAUUGAACAGAUGCCACUCACAGACAUUUGAUGUUUCUGAAUGUUGCAAGUUCAGGAUGUACCCCGCCUCCCGCCCGAAGAUAGCAGGGAUAGGCUCCAGCAGCCCGCGACCCUAGUGAGGCUAAGCAGUGAAGAAGCUAGAUGGAUGGAUGGGCACAAAGCGCCACCCAAGCUCCAAAGAGGAACUGCAGGAUCACACACACAGAUCAUGAGAUUUUGGCUUGCAUGUACAGUAAGUGGGCUAUAUGUGUAAUAGUGAUUAAUUUAUGUGGUCUAACCUUUGCAAACACAAAAUCUACAAACAGUAUUGUCAUGAUGAUGAACACUUAAUAAUGAUUAAAAUAGUAAUUUUGUCCUGUACCCUAAAACUCUGACACAUCAUAAAAUGUAUUGUAAUCAAUUUGGUUACCUCUUUACAGUCAUGUAACCCUUACGAAGUGCACUUUACA
Long non-coding RNA from Phycodurus eques (leafy seadragon), 656 nucleotides. RefSeq lists it as uncharacterized. The record is from RefSeq and is a predicted model, not a curated record. The transcript is spliced from 3 exons. NCBI's taxonomy places the organism in Eukaryota, Metazoa, Chordata, Actinopteri, Syngnathiformes, Syngnathidae.